UACGGAGGGUGCAAGCGUUAAUCGGAAUUACUGGGCGUAAAGCGCACGCAGGCGGUCUGUCAAGUCGGAUGUGAAAUCCCCGGGCUCAACCUGGGAACUGCAUUCGAAACUGGCAGGCUAGAGUCUUGUAGAGGGGGGUAGAAUUCCAGGUGUAGCGGUGAAAUGCGUAGAGAUCUGGAGGAAUACCGGUGGCGAAGGCGGCCCCCUGGACAAAGACUGACGCUCAGGUGCGAAAGCGUGGGGAGCAAACAGG
This 253-nucleotide ribosomal RNA is filed under the name Klebsiella pneumoniae. RNAcentral's name for it is "partial 16S ribosomal RNA". It matches the Rfam family "Bacterial small subunit ribosomal RNA", at positions 524 to 776 of the family's 1533-position model. Lineage: Bacteria; Pseudomonadati; Pseudomonadota; Gammaproteobacteria; Enterobacterales; Enterobacteriaceae. RNAcentral also lists the same sequence under 5 other names. The record is from RNAcentral.